Saccostrea cuccullata (small rock oyster) is the source of this 211-nucleotide long non-coding RNA. RefSeq lists it as uncharacterized. Lineage: Eukaryota; Metazoa; Mollusca; Bivalvia; Ostreida; Ostreidae. The record is from RefSeq and is a predicted model, not a curated record. The transcript has 3 exons.
AAGAACACCAACAAGAGCGCCAAAUUAGACAAUCUAUCUUCAUGUUCAAGCUCACAAGUGGUUUCAGAAAUCAUGUCAGAGAAGAAGAAAAUACCUCUAUCUCAUUCACAAGAUCAAGAACCAGAUAAACAAGAAGAAUCUACAGGAAAGAAGCAGGCAUUUGGGGAUUCUGACGCUAUGGAAGAAAAUCAACAGAAGGAAAUAUUGGAGG